This 21-nucleotide non-coding RNA is filed under the name Mus musculus (house mouse). Lineage: Eukaryota; Metazoa; Chordata; Mammalia; Rodentia; Muridae. The record is from RNAcentral.
GACAUGGGAUUUGGCUUGUUU